Solanum lycopersicum (tomato) is the source of this 2535-nucleotide non-coding RNA. The record is from RefSeq and is a predicted model, not a curated record. Lineage: Eukaryota; Viridiplantae; Streptophyta; Magnoliopsida; Solanales; Solanaceae.
AGACAGUCUUCCGUUAGAGAAUAGUAAUAUGGGUUGCAUUUCUUCCAAUACCAUAAGAAAGUACACAUGAUAAAUGGAUAUAAACAUUGACAUUGACAUUGACAAAUUUUUCUUAGAAAUAUUAGUAAAAUAAGUUGACUUAUGCUAAAAUGUCAUUUCUUUUGAAUGCAUGAGGCCCAUGUUGGAAAUUUUGGAGAGGAUGAGUACUCUCAAUCAAUCAUUUGUCUUGAAGACAGGUGAAGAAAUGUUGCUUUUGAUAGGUUGGCAUUUUUGCCAAACUUAUGCUACUUUGUAAUGAUAAAUUCAUGCCCCAUUUUUGAGAUUAAUGGGCUAACAAUGAUUUGAAUGAUAAAAUUUUAGGUUUUGACAGUUUUUUUUUUGUAACUGGUAAUGUUAGGUCUUGACAGCUUUUGAAAAGCUUAAGGAGUGGAAUGACUUCAAUACUUGAGGAAAUUGGACAUGGAGGCUAAAAUUUGAAGAAAAAGUGGCUAAAAAGCAAAAAAGAAAUUGUGGGGGCCAAGUACCUCACCCAAGUAUCUGAGCCACGUAGCCAGGGAAGAGAAGCCAGUCAAGGGGGAGCUUCUGGAAUCACCCACGUGACGUAGCCAUACGUUAAGGGCCCUGUUGCCAUAUUUUUGCACGAGUGCGAAUAGAUUUUCACGGCACUUUUUAUAUCAUCUUUGUACCUUUGAAGCUUAGAUAGCAUCUGUAACUAUUUUUGAGAGGUUUUGAAGGAUUUCUCCAUCGAGUACCAAUUUUCUUUCCUAAUUGCUCUUUAAUUAGCUUAACUCCAUAGCCGGGGUUGUAGACUCUUAUGGCAUUAAAUAUGAAUGUGUAUUAGUUUAUCUUGCCUAUUAUUACUUGGGUUUUUAUUAUCUACUUACUUACAUUCUUAUUUGGUAAUUUGUUGGUUGCAAACGUAGAUUAAGCUUCACAUGUCCAUUUAUUGCUUGGAAGAGUGGAAAUUGGAUUGGAUAUUGCACAGCAAGGAAUUGAGUAUAUUGAUAAGAGGGAACAAAGACAUAAUAUAAGUACACAUUGAGUUCAACACACUGUUUACAAGGGAUAUGUGGCAAGACUUCCGAAGUUAUGGGAUGUGUUUCGAGGAAGAUUUCAGUUUUGGAAGUUUGGUUUUUGGGAUGUUUAACCAAAGUCAAAAUUUUGGAUUAAUGAGGUUGGGUUCAAGUUUUGACAGAUCUGUUAGGUCCAAAGGAUGAAUUUUGACUUAGUUUGGUGGUUUGAAUGGAUCCCCAGGCACUCAGAAGUGAUUUGGAUCAUUAGAUGAUUCUAGUAUUUUGGAAAGUUUAGAGUAGAUCACGAUCAACAUUUUGUCAAAUUGACCUUGGAUUGGUUAUGGUCAAUCUGCACAUUUGGUUUGUAUCCGGGAAGUUUCAGAUGAAUUUCGAGGGUCGUGUCCUAGUUUGAAAGUGUCAUGAAGUUUCUGGGUGAAGUCCAGUGCAUUUCUUUCCGCAAUAACGAAGGCGCAGCAGUGAGCCUUGGAUCGCCUCUGCAAAGUCAUCAAGGUCAAGAGAGGUUGCUCUUGGGAACUCCCAUCCACAUCGACAAUGUGGCACCAGUGAAGCUCGUCUGCUCCUAUAUGAUGACAGCCGCUUCUGCGGAGCUGUAAGCGCCAAGCUCAUUUAGUUCCGCCUUUGUAAGCUCGCAGAAGCAGGAAAUUCUCCACUUCUAUGCAAAUCCCUGGCUAUUUGGAAUUCUAGAGUUUGGGGUUUUGGGCAGUUCCAGAGGGGGUUUGCUCAAUUUCUUCAUGGGGUCAAGGAGGGCUUUCAAUCAAUUACAACUGGAACAACGCAGACAAAUAUGGUUAUCACUGAUUGAUCAACUUCAAUACCAUAUUGCUCCAAAAGGAUCUCGAGCAAAGUCUCCCAAACAGAUUCAGAAUGGUAUCUCCAUGAAGGUCGAGGAGGAUUUUACAGGCAUAUGCUUUGUUCACUUUCCAGAUUAAAAUAAAAAAGAAUCCAAGUUAUUGAAAAGAAGCACAUACCCAAAGCUUCACAAAGGUAUCCGUUAUAACUGGAACAAUGCAGACAAAUAUGGUUAUCGCUGAUCGAUCAACUUCAAUACCAUAAUGCUCCACAAGCAUCUCGAGCGCAGUAUUCCAACCGUAUUCAGAAUGAUACCUGGACAGAUUCACCACAUUAUCCAACAUGACAAAGCUUUCUAAGGUUCCGAUUGUUGAAGAGUUUUGGGAGGUGUCAUUGUUGAAGGCUUGGAUUCUUCCUUUCAUCCAAGUAGGGUAGGUCCUCAACUCUCGAGGGCAAUGUCAUCCUCUAACUUUGGAUUUGUUAUGAGCUUAUUGACUCUAUCAUUCCUUUCCUUGUUAUUUGAAUAUUGUACUUUUGUAUGACCUAUACAUGGUCUUGUUGAAUCGAUGUAAGGGUUAUGCCCAUAUUGUGAUAUUCGUUUAGAUGGUAUGAGAUGAGACAAUUAUUGAGACUAAUUCUAUAUUCUUAUACAUGUAUGUGCAAUAAAAGUAGAAGGAUAUGUAACCUUUCUAUAUGAAGGGUCUAUGUAUAC